This 26-nucleotide non-coding RNA is filed under the name Homo sapiens (human). The record is from RNAcentral. Lineage: Eukaryota; Metazoa; Chordata; Mammalia; Primates; Hominidae.
UCCCUGGAGGGAAGGGUGAAUGUGUC